This 501-nucleotide ribosomal RNA is filed under the name uncultured bacterium. RNAcentral's name for it is "bacterial SSU rRNA". It matches the Rfam family "Bacterial small subunit ribosomal RNA", at positions 28 to 508 of the family's 1533-position model. The record is from RNAcentral.
AAUCAACGCUGGCGGCGUGCCUAACACAUGCAAGUCGAACGCGAAAGGGGAGCAAUCCCUGAGUAGAGUGGCGAACGGGUGAGUAACACGUGGGUGACCUGCCUUCGAGUGGGGGAUAACGUCCCGAAGGGGACGCUAAUACCGCAUGACAUCCCGCCUUUGAAGUGGCGGUGAUUAAAGCUGGGGAUCGCAAGACCUGGCGCUUGAAGAGGGGCCCGCGCCCGAUUAGCUAGUUGGUGGGGUAAUGGCCUACCAAGGCUUCGAUCGGUAGCCGGCCUGAGAGGGCGGACGGCCACACUGGGACUGAGACACGGCCCAGACUCCUACGGGAGGCAGCAGUGGGGAAUUGUUCGCAAUGGGCGCAAGCCUGACGACGCAACGCCGCGUGGAGGACGAAGAUUUUCGGAUCGUAAACUCCUUUCGAUCGGGACGAAUCGUCUCCGACCUAAUACGUCGGGGGACUGACGGUACCGAGAGAAGAAGCCCCGGCUAACUCCGUGC